UACCUGCAGCUCAAGUAGUGGCCGCUAUUAUUGGGCCUAAAACGUCCGUAGCCGGUUCUAUAAAUGCCUGGGUAAAUCGUACGGCCUAACCGUACGAAUUCCGGGUAGACUGUUCAACUUGAGACCGGGAGAGGCUAGAGGUACUCCUGGGGUAGAGGUGAAAUUCUGUAAUCCUAGGGGGACCACCAGUGGCGAAGGCGUCUAGCUAGAACGGGUCUGACGGUGAGGGACGAAGCCCUGGGGAGCAAACGGGAUUAGAUACCCCGGUAGUCCAGGGUGUAAACGCUGCUCGCUUGAUGUUAGUUGGGCUCCGAGCCCGACUAGUGUCGGAGAGAAGUUGUUAAGCGAGCUGCCUGGGGAGUACGGUCGCAAGACUGAAACUUAAAGGAAUUGGCGGGGAGCACCGCAACGGGUGGAGCGUGCAGUUU
Molecule: ribosomal RNA, 428 nt
Filed under: uncultured archaeon
Lineage: Archaea
Description: bacterial SSU rRNA
Rfam family: Archaeal small subunit ribosomal RNA
Source: RNAcentral